AGGGGCAGCGGGGGUGCAGGCUUGCCUGCACCUGCCGGCGACCGGCGCACGGGUGAGUAACACGUAUGGAACCUGCCCGCCACAGGGGGAUAACCCGGGGAAACCCGGCCUAAUACCCCAUGCCGCCCGGACCGGGCAUCCGGACCGGGCGAAAGGAGGAAUCCGGUGGCGGCUGGGCAUGCGGCGCAUUAGCUUGACGGCGGGGUAACGGCCCACCGUGGCGACGAUGCGUAGGGGUUCUGAGAGGAAGGCCCCCCACACUGGAACUGAGACACGGUCCAGACUCCUACGGGAGGCAGCAGUGAGGAAUAUUGGUCAAUGGGCGGAAGCCUGAACCAGCCAAGUCGCGUGAGGGAAUAAGGCCCUACGGGUCGUAAACCUCUUUUGCCGGGGAGCAAGGGCCGGGACGAGUCCCGGUCCGGAGAGUACCCGGAGAAAAAGCAUCGGCUAACUCCGUGCCAGCAGCCGCGGUAAUACGGAGGAUGCGAGCGUUAUCCGGAUUUAUUGGGUUUAAAGGGUGCGUAGGCGGGCUUUUAAGUCAGCGGUAAAAAUUCGGGGCUCAACCCCGUCCGGCCGUUGAAACAGGGGGCCUUGAGUGGGCGAGAAGAAGGCGGAAUGCGUGGUGUAGCGGUGAAAUGCAUAGAUAUCACGCAGAACCCCGAUUGCGAAGGCAGCCUUCCGGCGCCCUACUGA
This 693-nucleotide ribosomal RNA is filed under the name uncultured bacterium. RNAcentral's name for it is "bacterial SSU rRNA". It matches the Rfam family "Bacterial small subunit ribosomal RNA", at positions 65 to 743 of the family's 1533-position model. The record is from RNAcentral.